RNAcentral lists this long non-coding RNA (620 nucleotides) under Homo sapiens (human). RNAcentral's name for it is "non-protein coding TDRKH-AS1:20". Lineage: Eukaryota; Metazoa; Chordata; Mammalia; Primates; Hominidae. The record is from RNAcentral.
GGAAAAUCUGCGCUCCAGCAGCUGGGACCGAGGCAUGAGAGCGUUGAAUCAUGAGUGGCACCGUUCGCAAAAAUUGGUGUCUUUGUACAAAGACAGUGCCACAACACAACUCAGUGACCAUCGGGAGAGCAGCCUCAUGAUGGGCGAUGCUCCAUCAGUUUUCUCUUGCGAUCUUUUGCAUAGAUCGGUCCCGCCCCGCAUAUGGCGAUGAGGACUCAAGAGACACGGAAAACGUUUUCUUUCUGGAAAACAUGAAAUAGGCUUUGUAGAUGGACAGGAAGUCAAGGGACAAGCGGUGCGCCGCAGAGAGCGAGGACCCACUCUUCUAUUCCUUUGCGGAGGCACGGACACACGGUGUGGCCCGAAACAGCGGCAGGAGAGUGAGACCCGGGCUCCGACCGCGGUGACGCUGUCCUGGUCCCUGGACGGUUAGGAACGGUUGGGUCCUGCUACUGCCUCCGUGGGGCAGGGAGCCUCGCGAGACCAGCACUGCGCCCUACUCGGUCCACCCUGUCCCCGCUCCGCGCUAGGGGCUCACCCUGGGAACAGGGGUCGGGCGAUCCUGGUCAUUGGGGGAUCUUCCGCACUAGCUUCCAUCACAAUACCUGGCAGGUGAUGAG